UGCGAGGUAGAGCAGAGGUAGCUCGUCGGGCUCAUAACCCGAAGGUCAGAGGUUCGAAUCCCCUCCUCGCUA
Molecule: transfer RNA, 72 nt
Filed under: Chitinophaga sancti
Lineage: Bacteria; Pseudomonadati; Bacteroidota; Chitinophagia; Chitinophagales; Chitinophagaceae
Also listed under: 11 other names
Description: tRNA-Met
Rfam family: tRNA
About the family: Transfer RNA (tRNA) molecules are approximately 80 nucleotides in length.
Source: RNAcentral